GAGGUUGUGGCUCAGCGGUAGAACACUCAUCUAGCAUAUAUAAGGCCCUGGGUUUGAUCCCCAGCACCUCA
This 71-nucleotide transfer RNA is filed under the name Marmota monax (woodchuck). Its description in RNAcentral is "tRNA.Ala". The record is from RNAcentral. Lineage: Eukaryota; Metazoa; Chordata; Mammalia; Rodentia; Sciuridae.